CAGUCGCCGCGGGAACACGUAGGUGGCAAGCGUUGUCCGGAUUUAUUGGGCGUAAAGCGAGCGCAGGCGGUUCCUUAAGUCUGAUGUGAAAGCCCACGGCUCAACCGUGGAAGGUCAUUGGAAACUGGGGAACUUGAGUGCAGAAGAGGAGAGUGGAGUUCCAUGUGUAGCGGUGAAAUGCGUAGAUAUAUGGAGGAACACCAGUGGCGAAGGCGACUCUCUGGUCUGUAACUGACGCUGAGGCUCGAAAGCGUGGGGAGCAAACAGGAUUAGAUACCCGAGUAGUCCCUGUCUCUUAUAC
Molecule: ribosomal RNA, 301 nt
Filed under: uncultured bacterium
Lineage: Bacteria
Description: partial 16S ribosomal RNA
Rfam family: Bacterial small subunit ribosomal RNA
Source: RNAcentral